AUUAUUCACGCUAUUCCAACUAGGAACAAUUCUACCCACAACAUCCACCACAUUAUCAAUAGACAAUCUAGUUUCAAGAAAACCCACUAAGCAUACUUUAUUCUUGCAAACUAACCUGUGGGCUGCUCGCUGCGCAUGAGUGGCUGCAAGCCCUCGUACGUUCAAUGCUAGACACCUCAUUGACGAACAUUAGGGGGAGGAGCCCCCGUCUCGUCCUGGUCUGUUGCCUGUGCCAUGCGGCUCUUGGAUGAUGAUUCCAGUGCCUCUCCUAGUGCCGUCUGCCCUGUGGGUUAGAGUGGGAGUCGGGGAGUGCCCCGAGUGGCCUACAGCCUCUUCAUCCUCCUCCUCCGUUUCCAAAGCCCAAGUCUUCUUAGUAUUCACUUGAGCGGGCUACUUCCCCUCUCGUCUGUUGAUCCUUCAAUCAUCAGGAUCAAGGUCGUCUAGGAUUUGGUAUUUCCCUGACAUGACCUUCUGUUUCUGCGCUUGGGAUAGUUUAGGACCCAUAGCCUUUUUCUUCCCGUUUCAAUUCCUCUUUUUCCUCGGCCUCGUAUUCCUAGCCCCAACGUGCUGGAAUCCCUCCUCGUUGACCGUGUCAUUAGCCCGUGCAGUCUCUGAAAGCUGGUCCAUCCCUUUCUCCCCCUUAUCACCCCUAGCAAGAUCAUCACAAUCACUAACUAGGAGGCUAAAUUUUCUACAAUUUAGUACAAUACGCCAGGAGGCGUUCGUACAAAAUGGUUUGGGAAAAAUUAGCCCCUCAGUAGUUAAACGUGACCUCCCUCGGGAGCUCCUGUGAGACAUCAAUAUCCACUCACACAUGCACAAACGAUACCCUGUCCGCCUUAAUAUAAGUAUCAUCCACCAUGAUAGGUCUACCAACCAGUGAAGCCACCUUACUAAUGUGGUUCUUCGACCACAGCUCCAAUGGGAAUGAAGGCAACCGAAUCUAGACCGGGUCAUGGGAGAUUUCCCGGUCAUCAAAUUGAAAGGCUCGUGGUAGCCUUUCGAGUAUAAGAUAACGUUCUCAUAUGGAAUGGGGCGCACUGUCUAGCACCUUCCGCACAUCCUCCUCCGAGCAAAGCUGAAAGAUGAUCCACCCCGACUGAUGCAUGACGAUGAUUUACUUGACGCCCCAUGCCCGGCAGAUGGCAUGGAGGGCUUGCAUACUUAGGAACCGUCCCGAGAAAUACCCCACCAAUGUGUAUUUCCAAUCAUCAGAAUCAUCCUUCGGAUCAAGGUUACUUUUGUUGAUCCUAAGGGUCGGGGGAAGCUCGACAGACAGCGCGUUCAAUGCGUGCUCCGAAAGGGAAUCGGGUUAAAAUUCCAAAACUGAGACGUGGCGGUUGACGGCAAUGUUAGGGAGUCCAGAGACAUUGGCGGGGGCCUCGGGAAGAGUUAUCUUUUUUGUUUAACAGCCCGCCCACCCUGGAAACGGCUCAGCCAGAGGUAGGGUCCAGCGACUGGAAGAGCACCGCACGUCGCAGGGUGUCUGGUGCACCCCCAGCGGCCCUUGAAAAUCUGGAGGACCGAGUACCGUUCGGGGCCCGGUUGUACUCAUAACCGCAUUAGGUCUCCAAGGUGAACAGCCUCUGGUCGAUGGAAUAAUGUAGGCAAGGGAAGUCGGCAAAAUAGAUCAGUAACCUCGGGAAAAGGAUUGGCUCUAAGGGCAGGGCACGGGGGUCAUAGUCCCGAACCCAUCGCCUAUCGGUAAAUUGCUCGAGCUGCUCGUGCGGUGAGAACGGGUCAUCGCGUGCCGAUCGGAGGAUGAACUGGGAACGGCUUCCUCAGGGGCCGUCCCCAGGCGUCGAACAGUCGACUCAGAACUAGUACGAAAAAGGGGAAUCCGACUGUUUAAUUAAAAUAAAGCAUUGCGAUAGUCCCUGCGGAUGCUCACGUAAUGCGAUUUCUGCCCAAUGCUCUGAAUGUCAAAGUGAAGAAAUUCAACCAAGCGCGGGUAAACUGCGGGAGUAACUAUGGCUCUCUUAAUGUAGCCAAAUACCUCGUCAUCUAAUUAGUGACGCACAUGAAUGGUUUAACGAGAUUCCCACUGUCCAUGUCUACUAUCCAGCAAAACCACAGCAAAGGGAACGGGCUUGGCGGAAUCAGCGGGGAAAGAAGACUCUGUUGAGCUUGACUCUAGUCCAACUUUGUGAAAUGACUUGAGAGGUGUAGGAUAAGUGGGAGCCGAAAGGCGAAAGUGAAAUACCACUACUUUUAAACAUUAUUUUACUUAUUUCGUGAAUCGGAGGAGGGGCAUCGCCCCUCUUUUUGGACCCAAGGCUCGCCCCGGAGGGCCGAUUUGGGUGGAAGACAUUGUUAGGUGGGGAGUUUGGCUGGGGCGGCACAUAUGUUAAAAGAUAACGCAGGUGUCCUAAGAUGAGCUCAACGAGAAUAGAAAUCUUGUGUGGAAAAGAAGGGUAAAAGCUCGUUUGAUUCUGAUUUACUGUACGAAUACGAACCGUGAAAGCGUGGCCUAACGAUCCUUUAGACCUUCGGAAUUUGAAGCUAGAGGUGUUAAAAAAGUUACCAUAGGGAUAACUAGCUUGUGGCAGCCAAGCGUUCAUAGUGACGUUGCUUUUUUAUCCUUCAAUGUCGGCUCUUCCUAUCAUUAUGAAGCAGAAUUCACCAAGUGGUUGAUUGUUCAACCACCAAUAGGGAACGUGAGCUGGGUUUAGACCGUCGUAAGAUAGGUUAGUUUUACCCAACUGAUGAUGGUGUCGCAAUGGUAAUUCAACCUAGUAUGAGAGGAACCGUUGAUUCGCACAAUUGGUCAUCACACCUGGUUGAAAAGCUAGUGGCGCGAAGCUACCGUGCGCUGGAUUAUGACUGAAUGCUUCUAAGUCAAAAUCCCGGGCAAGACGCGAUGCAUGCACCCGCCGUUCGCUCCCCGACCCGCAGUAGGGGCCCCAAGGCCCCCAAGGGCACGUGUCGUUGGCCAAGCCCCCACGGCGGACGAGCCGCGUGGGCCGCCUCAAAGUAAAAUUCCAAUAGAGCAGUGGGUAGAAUCAUUUGCAGAUGACUUAAAUACGCGACCGGGUAUUGUAAGCGGCAGAGUGGCCUUGCUGCCACGAUCCGUUGAGAUUCA
This 3082-nucleotide ribosomal RNA is filed under the name Pogostemon cablin (patchouli). RNAcentral describes it as "eukaryotic LSU rRNA". The stretch from base 1052 to 3082 matches the Rfam family "Eukaryotic large subunit ribosomal RNA". Lineage: Eukaryota; Viridiplantae; Streptophyta; Magnoliopsida; Lamiales; Lamiaceae. The record is from RNAcentral.